UCCAUAACUCCGCCUGUAGCUCUUUGAGAGUCACUGCCGGUCCCAAGCCCAGAUAAAGGAGAAGGGUUGGG
RNAcentral lists this non-coding RNA (71 nucleotides) under Schistosoma mansoni. The record is from RNAcentral. Lineage: Eukaryota; Metazoa; Platyhelminthes; Trematoda; Strigeidida; Schistosomatidae.